Small nuclear RNA from Rosa rugosa (rugosa rose), 140 nucleotides. Lineage: Eukaryota; Viridiplantae; Streptophyta; Magnoliopsida; Rosales; Rosaceae. The record is from RefSeq and is a predicted model, not a curated record.
GAGCUUUAGGGAGAUGGUUGGCAUCUCCACUGACUGGGACGGGAACAGUCUUCAGACAUACCUGUUACCACACAUAUGGUUAAAGAUAUAGCUUUUAGUGUAACCCUGAAAACUCUAGCUAGAACUCUCCUCUCUGUUUU